CUGCCCAGUGACACUCGUUCAACGGCCGCGGUAUCCUAACCGUGCAAAGGUAGCAUAAUAACUUGCCUAUUAAUUGUAGGCUAGAAUGAACGGAUAAACGAAAUAUGAACUGUCUCCGCUUGGACCCUAUAAAUUAUAAUUUAACUGAAGACAGUUAAAUAAAGUCGAAGGACAAGAAGACCCUAUAGAGCUUAAUUUUAAAAUGGGGGUUACCCAAAUAAAAUUUGGUUGGGGCGACCAAGGACAAUAAAAAUCAUCCUAAUAAAUUAAGAUAUCUUAAUCACAUAAAUGACCCUACAAAGAUCAAGAGAAAAGCUACCUUAGGGAUAACAGGCUAAUUCUGUUUAAGAGUCCAUAUCAAUAACAGAGUUUGGCACCUCGAUGUUGGCUUAGGGUAUCUAUAAGGCGCAAAAGUCUUAUACAGAUGGUUUGUUCAACCAAUAAAUCCCU
RNAcentral lists this ribosomal RNA (450 nucleotides) under Gordiodrilus elegans. Its description in RNAcentral is "partial 16S ribosomal RNA". It matches the Rfam family "Bacterial large subunit ribosomal RNA", at positions 1859 to 2597 of the family's 2925-position model. The record is from RNAcentral. Lineage: Eukaryota; Metazoa; Annelida; Clitellata; Crassiclitellata; Ocnerodrilidae.